RNAcentral lists this ribosomal RNA (466 nucleotides) under uncultured bacterium. RNAcentral's name for it is "bacterial SSU rRNA". It matches the Rfam family "Bacterial small subunit ribosomal RNA", at positions 330 to 793 of the family's 1533-position model. The record is from RNAcentral.
ACCAGACUCCUACGGGAGGCAGCAGUGAGGAAUAUUGGUCAAUGGCCGGAAGGCUGAACCAGCCAAGUCGCGUGAGGGAAUAAGGCCCUAUGGGUCGUAAACCUCUUUUGUCAGGGAGCAAAGGCGUCCACGUGUGGACGAGAGGAGAGUACCUGAAGAAAAAGCAUCGGCUAACUCCGUGCCAGCAGCCGCGGUAAUACGGAGGAUGCGAGCGUUAUCCGGAUUUAUUGGGUUUAAAGGGUGCGCAGGCGGCCUGUUAAGUCAGCGGUAAAAGCCCGGAGCUCAACCCCGGCGAGCCGUUGAAACUGGCGGGCUGGAGUUGGAGAGAAGUACGCGGAAUGCGCGGUGUAGCGGUGAAAUGCUUAGAUAUCGCGCAGAACCCCGAUUGCGAAGGCAGCAUGCCGGCUCCACACUGACGCUGAGGCACGAAAGCGUGGGUAUCGAACAGGAUUAGAUACCCUUGUAA